GAGAGCGGCGGACGGGUGAGUAAUGCCUAGGAAUCUGCCUGGUAGUGGGGGAUAACGCUCGGAAACGGACGCUAAUACCGCAUACGUCCUACGGGAGAAAGCAGGGGACCUUCGGGCCUUGCGCUAUCAGAUGAGCCUAGGUCGGAUUAGCUAGUUGGUGGGGUAAUGGCUCACCAAGGCGACGAUCCGUAACUGGUCUGAGAGGAUGAUCAGUCACACUGGAACUGAGACACGGUCCAGACUCCUACGGGAGGCAGCAGUGGGGAAUAUUGGACAAUGGGCGAAAGCCUGAUCCAGCCAUGCCGCGUGUGUGAAGAAGGUCUUCGGAUUGUAAAGCACUUUAAGUUGGGAGGAAGGGCAUUAACCUAAUACGUUAGUGUUUUGACGUUACCGACAGAAUAAGCACCGGCUAACUCUGUGCCAGCAGCCGCGGUAAUACAGAGGGUGCAAGCGUUAAUCGGAAUUACUGGGCGUAAAGCGCGCGUAGGUGGUUCGUUAAGUUGGAUGUGAAAUCCCCGGGCUCAACCUGGGAACUGCAUUCAAAACUGUCGAGCUAGAGUAUGGUAGA
Molecule: ribosomal RNA, 568 nt
Filed under: Pseudomonas brassicacearum
Lineage: Bacteria; Pseudomonadati; Pseudomonadota; Gammaproteobacteria; Pseudomonadales; Pseudomonadaceae
Description: bacterial SSU rRNA
Rfam family: Bacterial small subunit ribosomal RNA
Source: RNAcentral